Molecule: RNA transcript, 974 nt
Organism: Drosophila montana
Lineage: Eukaryota; Metazoa; Arthropoda; Insecta; Diptera; Drosophilidae
Gene name: proteasome subunit beta type-3-like
Exons: 2
Source: RefSeq, a predicted model, not a curated record
AACUUUCCACACACACAGACCCACUCGACAAGGAUUAUUAUAUUAUAUGGUUUUUUUGCAACGAAAGCUAAAUGACUACUACUAAUAAGGUUACAUAUAAUGGGGGCUGUGUAAUUGCCAUGCAGGGCAAGGAUUGUAUUGCCAUUGCCACGGAUCGUCGCUUUGGCCUGCAGUCGCACACCGCUGGCGAGGAUUGUCAGAAGGUUUUCCAUCUAUCGCCACGUUUGUAUUUGGGUUUGACUGGCCUGCAUACGGAUAUUAUGACUGUGUACAAUCGUCUGAUGUAUCGCAAGAAUGUUUAUGAGAUAAAUGAGGGUCGUGAGGUGUCGCCGAAAGUCUUGACGGAACUACUCUCCCAUUUGCUUUACGAGCAUCGAUUUGGUCCAUUCUUUGUUGAGCCCGUUAUUGCCGGCCUGGAUCCCGAAACCCUCGAGCCCUAUAUUUGCUGCAUGGAUCUAAUUGGCUGUGCCAAUGUCACAAAUGAUUUUGUUGCUACUGGGACCUGUUCGGAUCAAUUGGUAGGCAUGUGCGAGAGCGUUUGGAGUCCGAAUCUAAAUGCAACUGAACUUUUUAAGACGAUUGCUCAGGCAAUGCUGGGUUCUUUCAAUCGUGAUGCGGUCAGUGGCUGGGGUUCCAGCAUAUUUAUUCUUGAGAAGGACAAAAUAACUGAGCGUUUAAUCAGAACGCGAAAGGAUUAGUUGCAGAAUUAAAAUGCUUCAAGAAUAAGGAUAAUAUAAAUAAAGGUUUAGUAAGCUUCUACUAGCAACGCGUUUGGCAUUGGCGCCCCAUUUAUCGAUACAUCUCCAAAGAUGUUUCUUCUAUUAAGGCAAUUAUUAUACCUCUCAAAGCUCCCCCAUGUGCUCUCAAGCUUAAGGAGGAUCAGAGUAUACUAAAACAAAGGUUUUCACUGCAAAAGCUAUAAACCUACUGCUAUUUGUACAAGAUUUAAACUUAUCCACUUGCAACCCCAUAAA